RNAcentral lists this transfer RNA (82 nucleotides) under Loxodonta africana (African savanna elephant). RNAcentral describes it as "tRNA-Leu (TAG) (tRNA-Leu-TAG-7-1)". It matches the Rfam family "tRNA". Rfam says of the family: Transfer RNA (tRNA) molecules are approximately 80 nucleotides in length. The record is from Rfam by way of RNAcentral. Lineage: Eukaryota; Metazoa; Chordata; Mammalia; Proboscidea; Elephantidae.
GGUAGGGUGGCCGAGCGGUCUAAUGCGCUGGAUUUAGGCUCCAGUCUCUGUGAGGACGUGGGUUCGAAUCCCACCGCUGCCA